This 442-nucleotide ribosomal RNA is filed under the name uncultured bacterium. RNAcentral describes it as "partial 16S ribosomal RNA". It matches the Rfam family "Bacterial small subunit ribosomal RNA", at positions 338 to 795 of the family's 1533-position model. The record is from RNAcentral.
CCUACGGGCGGCAGCAGUAGGGAAUCUUCCACAAUGGGCGCAAGCCUGAUGGAGCAACACCGCGUGAAGGAAGAAGGCUUUCGGGUUGUAAACUUCUUUUAAGGGGGAAGAGCAGAAGACGGUACCCCUUGAAUAAGCCACGGCUAACUACGUGCCAGCAGCCGCGGUAAUACGUAGGUGGCAAGCGUUGUCCGGAUUUACUGGGUGUAAAGGGCGUGCAGCCGGAGAGACAAGUCAGAUGUGAAAUCCACGGGCUCAACCCGUGAACUGCAUUUGAAACUGUUUCCCUUGAGUGUCGGAGAGGUAAUCGGAAUUCCUUGUGUAGCGGUGAAAUGCGUAGAUAUAAGGAAGAACACCAGUGGCGAAGGCGGAUUACUGGACGAUAACUGACGGUGAGGCGCGAAAGCGUGGGGAGCAAACAGGAUUAGAUACCCUAGUAGUC